This 292-nucleotide ribosomal RNA is filed under the name uncultured bacterium. RNAcentral describes it as "partial 16S ribosomal RNA". It matches the Rfam family "Bacterial small subunit ribosomal RNA", at positions 505 to 796 of the family's 1533-position model. The record is from RNAcentral.
UUGUCAGCCGCCGCGGUAAUACGUAGGUGGCGAGCGUUAUCCGGAAUUACUGGGCGUAAGGCGCACGCGGGCGGUCUGUUAAGUUUGACGUGAAAGCUCCCGGCUUAACUGGGAGAGGUCGUUGAAGACUGGCAGACUUGAGGCAAUGAGAGGGGUGUAGAAUUCCCGGUGUAGUGGUGGAAUGCGUAGAUAUCGGGGGGAAUACCAGUGGCGAAAGCGGCACCCUAGCGUUGUUCUGACGCUCAUGUGCGAAAGCGUGGGGAGCGAACGGGAUUAGAAACCCUUGUAGUCC